Long non-coding RNA from Sinocyclocheilus grahami, 165 nucleotides. RefSeq lists it as uncharacterized. The record is from RefSeq and is a predicted model, not a curated record. NCBI's taxonomy places the organism in Eukaryota, Metazoa, Chordata, Actinopteri, Cypriniformes, Cyprinidae. The transcript is spliced from 3 exons.
CGGAGCUAACUACACCCCAAAGGCUAUUUUAGGAGCCACAGCAUUGAGCAUCUUUGGCUUUGAGCCAACUACACCCCAGAGACUCUUUUAAGGGCCACCUAGAAUCACGGCACCUUUGACUUUAUCAUCUGUCAGUGGUUAUGGAGGCCAUGCAUCCAAGACCAA